RNAcentral lists this small nucleolar RNA (123 nucleotides) under Sphenodon punctatus (tuatara). RNAcentral describes it as "Small nucleolar RNA SNORA26 (ENSSPUG00000017285.1)". It matches the Rfam family "Small nucleolar RNA SNORA26". Rfam says of the family: The snoRNA HBI-6 belong to the H/ACA family of snoRNAs, guiding the pseudouridylation of position U4522 if the 28S rRNA. HBI-6 is the human orthologue of mouse MBI-6 snoRNA. The record is from Rfam by way of RNAcentral. Lineage: Eukaryota; Metazoa; Chordata; Lepidosauria; Sphenodontia; Sphenodontidae.
UUGCCCGCCUCAAGCUGCCGGUGCUUGAGAGCGGCCAACACAGGGGGGUAGAAGAGCCUCUUCUCACUGAAACCUGGAGCAGAGCCCGCCCCUCUGCUUUGGAUCCUGUCGUGAGAAACACUU